UCUGGAGGGGAGGGCAUGGAAUUCAGUGUGUAGUUUUUCUGCUCUCUGCAGAGGACAUCUUGGAUAUGGGUGACCUGUGACCCAUAUGUGUCAUGACCGGGACAUGCAUACUCUGACCUAGUGGCCAAAGCAGGAGUCGGGCUGGGUCAGAUACCAGGAGGUGAGAGUCCAAGAGAGACCAGAGGGCAACCCAAGAGUCAAGUGUCAGGAGGCAGGCAGGGUCAGGUUACCAGGAGAUCAGAAGCAGGAGACAAACGUGAGAACAGAACCACGGAUCGAUAACCAGAGUUAGGCCAGGUCAGGAUACCAGGAUGUCAAGCAAUGGGAGCAGGAAGCACAAGGCACACAGUCCAGAGCAAGGGCCAAGAAACAGGACGUCCAGCUUGCGAGCAGGCCUGUCUGUGUGGAGCUGCAGGACUGGUGCGCCAGCUGGCAAGGUUGACUUGUGGAUAAUUCUCCUGGAGGUAUUCUCAGACCGCUGCCAGCUCAGGUUCUGACAUGGCAUAAACUGGUCCGAAUGGUAUUUUGGCUCCAGGCUUCAGCUCUAUUGGGAAGUCAUAGUCCCAGGUGGAGGAGCCAUCACUUGGAGUGGUGAAGAUCAUCUUUGACAGGAUGAUAGACCACUAGGCCCCUUCAUGAGGCCCAGUCUAUUUCCACCCUCUUCUACCUUUUCCAGUGGAUUCCCCAGAGAUUAUGUUAUUCAUCAGGGGUAACAGGGAAUGACUACUCAAUGAUGGAGUACUAUGGGGAAGUCAAUAUAGUUCCUUGGGGAUAUUUUGGGUGGGGAACUAGAAAUAGGGAGCCUAUGUUUGUUUCCUCACUGAUGUUCCCUUUCUGUCCUAUGUUUUUCAGCACUCUGGAGGCUGUACAUGUUCCUCUGGAUGGGUUGCAGGCCCCCAGGCAACCCAGAAUAAAGGGAAUUUUGAAAGGGAGACUCGUGUGUUAGACUGCACAAUCUGUAAUUUUUCCUUAAUUUUUAUUUUGGCAGAGGAAUCUCUGUUGGUCCCACUGAUG
Long non-coding RNA from Mauremys reevesii (Reeves's turtle), 1014 nucleotides. RefSeq lists it as uncharacterized. The transcript has 3 exons. The record is from RefSeq and is a predicted model, not a curated record. NCBI's taxonomy places the organism in Eukaryota, Metazoa, Chordata, Testudines, Geoemydidae.